Molecule: long non-coding RNA, 2782 nt
Organism: Marmota monax (woodchuck)
Lineage: Eukaryota; Metazoa; Chordata; Mammalia; Rodentia; Sciuridae
Exons: 4
Source: RefSeq, a predicted model, not a curated record
ACUACAUUCCUAAGUAAGCACAGCACUUACAAACUGCAAAGUUUUUCACAAACAACAGGAACUUAAACCUUUGAUCUACUAUUUACCCAGUGUAUGACCUGGGCAAGUUACCAGAAUGACCUAGGUUUCCUUCAGAGUUAAGUGAGAGCAGCAAAGUGCCUACUUAAACAGAAGCUGUGAGGAAGCUAAUGUGCACUCGGGUGCCGGAUGAGGAGGGCCUCGUCUUCUUUGUGGUACUCCAGCAUGCCCUGGAAGUCCUUCUCUUUCCUCUGGACUGUGACCUGCCUGACCCUCAACACAGCUUGCCAGGUGCCAGGCCAGAAGUGUGCUGAUGGUGGCUCCAGCCGCAGGUGACAGCGGUGAUGCUCUGCUAGUUUUGGGACAAGGCCUCAAGAGGCCCCACAGCUGCUGCUUGCAUUCCCUGGGAAGCCAGUCGCCAUGUAAAGCAGUACACAGAGAGCGAGAGACCACAAGGAGAACUGACGCCCCAGACAUGGGAAUGAAGCUGUCUUAGAUCUUCUGGCUCCAGCUGACACCAUGUGGAGCAGAGGCAAGCUGUCCCCAAUGAGCUCUGCCAGAAUUCCUGAUUGACACAACAGUGGCUGCUAUUUCUUGGUAUUACAUCCCCAACCAAGAAAAACAGUUAUUUCAUUUAUCUACCAUCAGCAAACUAGGGAUUUCCAGAAUCUGUUCCCACUACAGGGCUAAGGAUGUGAACCUUGUCCAUCUAGCCACCCCAAUCCUUUUUUCUAGAACAUGACUCCCAGAGCUAUGAUCCAUGAGGCAUGGCUACUCACCAGAUUCUCGUUGGUCAACCGGGAUAUCUCCUGCUGGACACCAAAUUCCACCUGGGCCUCUGGGGAUAGCAGCAGUGUCUGGCAGAAGGUCUGCUGCUGUUUGUCCAUCUCCUCCUUCAGGGCCUCCACCUGGGCUUUGAGGUUCUCCACCUGUUCCUCAUGCUCCAGGCUCUGGGCCUGCAGCUGUGCCUCCAGCAACCUGCACCAAGGAGAGAAGGACAGGUGACCAUGUGGUUAGGGCAGCACCCCAAGUGAGGGGCUACAUACAAAUACAACAAGAGAGCAGCCAAGCACACAGCAGCGGUUGCACAUCCCCAACGGGAUGUACACAGUGGGGAGACACACACCACGGAGGCCAGCAGGCAAGCAGGCUGACCUGUCCUCUCCGAUGACAGAAAACCAAGGUAAAAAGCAUCCUGGGCUUAUUAGCCCUUUUCCCUGACCCUGUAUUUCAUUCUGUGAGUAGUUUGGGAUGGAGACACUGCCAUAUCUAAGUCAGCAGCACAAAUUUCUUAUAGUAAAUACAGCAUCUAUGUCUUCCCUAAAGUUCACAAGAAUGCCCUUGUUAAGAUAAAACUCUGAUAAAGUAAUUACAUUAUUUGCUCACUUUCCCUAGACUACCCACAAGUUUUAGAAAGGCAAGGGGCUAGUCUGGCCUAUUCAUCUUCACCAUUACUAUCUCCACUCUACCCCACGUGCACAUUUCUAUAACGAUUUACCCUUCACACCCCAAAAACAAAACUAAGACUAUCUGCAAGUGUUCUGGGGGAAGUUAAAGAUUAGCCAGUGUCUGACAAGCAGACACACCCAGAGAUCUGGAGAGGGUUGGGGAAGGCUCGGAGGCCAAGUCUAAAAAGCUCAAUCAGGGCCAGUUACCUGGCACUCCUUGGACAGUACCUGCUCCACCCUAACAGAAAGUGAGGGAUUCUGGAGGCGCAGCAGCAGCCUUGUCCCCAGGAGCUGGGUGCCAACAUGGUGAGGAUGCACAUCUUCUGGGGCUUCACUACCUGAACCAGCUUCCCGACUCAGUGCAGCUGAUUUUGUGUGAAAGAUAUGUAGAGGGUGCUGGAUGAAAGGGGCUUUGGAAAGCUUCCUGACAUGGCCUACACAGGGGAACACUCACCCCAAUCUUUGCCUGGAAUGAGCAGAGCUAGGCACCAAUUCAGGAAGCAGGCAGAACCCAGGGGACAGAUGUGGGAGUCCCUGACUGCCUCGAAGGUAGGGAGCGGGUUGCAUGUUUUUGCAGUCCUGCUGGUCUGGGAGGCAGUAAAUGCAUAAGAGGGAGGGAAAGAUCACACUGCUGACAGAGGUAGAUGAGUCAGCUUUAUAGCAGCACUGGGUAGAUCACCUGGCUCCCAGUGGCUCCUCAAUCAAGUACCACGAAUGAGGAAAUGAUUGAGGAAUGCACCACAGGCCUAUUGCCAAAAGAAAACAGCAAUGUGAGGAUAGUGGAGGACAGCUUGGUAAUAAAAUCAACACCUUAGGUGAUAUGCAAUACUUAGAUAGCAUCCAACAUUGGCCAAAAUACACUUAAUCACUAAUAGGUUGUAGAUUUAACAAGAGAGUAGAAACACCUGGUUCUAGGAUGCUGCCAAGGGAUGUGCUUCCUUACCUGUGCUAUGUGUCCACCAUUCAUGUCUGCCCUAUGCUCCAAGUGGACUAGGGUGGACUCAGCCCAGGGUGUAGGGUACAGGAUUCCUGCCCAAGCAUCAAGCUAGCUUCCUAAGUGUGUGGAGAAGCCAAAGGCUGAGAGAGAUUCAAGGUCACAGCCAGGGGCCGGGCUGGUUCUACGAGCCAGGACUCCUGACACACAGGCCUGUGGGCUACUUCAACACAUUCAUCUGCUUAUCUGUCACACCACAUUUGACCUGCCAACAGAGGCCCAAGGAAUGACCAGCUUCACACAUGGGUCUCUAUUCCAAUACAACAUGCUUCUGAGUGGAAGGAAUCUGAUCAUAUUGCAUAAUAUAACCAUCAUAACAACA